Molecule: ribosomal RNA, 239 nt
Filed under: uncultured marine eukaryote
Lineage: Eukaryota
Description: partial 18S ribosomal RNA
Rfam family: Eukaryotic small subunit ribosomal RNA
Source: RNAcentral
GUUAAAAAGCUCGUAGUUGGAUUUCUGGGAUUUUCAGCCGGCCGGCUCUUAGGAGUUGUAGCUAGGUUUGCAAGUCUCAUCUUCUCACAAUUCUCGCUGGCCUUAACUGUUCGGCGUAGAGGACUGAGUCGUUUACUUUGAGAAAAUUAGAGUGUUCAAAGCAGGCUAUCGCCUUGAAUAUAUUAGCAUGGAAUAAUGAUAUAGGACUUUGGUUCUAUUUUGUUGGUUGUUCAGGACCA